Rosa rugosa (rugosa rose) is the source of this 868-nucleotide long non-coding RNA. RefSeq lists it as uncharacterized. The record is from RefSeq and is a predicted model, not a curated record. The transcript is spliced from 2 exons. NCBI's taxonomy places the organism in Eukaryota, Viridiplantae, Streptophyta, Magnoliopsida, Rosales, Rosaceae.
UAUCUCAUUUUGGAACAUCAAAAUCUCUCUUUUCUCUAGUUUUAGGUUAGUUUUUCAUAGCUUGUACAUAGUUCUUUGAGUUCGUGUGAGAAAUAGGUAUGUAGUCACUUGGGUUUCACCAAAACCGAAGUUACUACAAGCUCUACAUCAAUCACAACACUUACUUUUAUACAUCCAAGCUCUUGUUCUUCCUUGUUCUUGAGCUUUGUGGAUGUGUAUGGUAUUUUGGGUUGUAAAAACCGAAAAUCCCAUACCUUGAAGCAAUUCUCUCAUCAUUUGACAUCUUUGAGAGCUAAGUGGGAGGUUUGAGAUCUCGGUUUGACUCCACCAAGUGUCAAACCCAUGGCCGGACGGCCAGAUCCCGUCUCCGAACAAUCAAGUCCCAAAUCUGGGAUGAGGCUUCGGUGAACGAAGCCAUCCUCGAAUCCUUGGAGUCGAUCGAGGUUUUGGACCGCAGCCAAGGGAUUCCGAUCAUGGAUUCCAGAUCCCGAGUCAGCGAAGGAGGAGGAGUCGGACGUGCCUCGAAGCCUCCCCAAUCAAAGCCCAACCCCAUUUCCACCUCAAAGUCCUCGUCAACUUCCAAGCCUUCGCCUUAGAGAACCCAGAGCCUCGAUCAGAAGAGACCCAAAUUGCUGGCCUCACACUCUGGUGGGUGCCCAGAGCAAUUUUCUGGGUGAGCAGAGCACUUUUUUUUUUUUGGUAUACUGUGAGCUUCCGGAAUGGGGAAGGGAAAAAAAGAAAAAAAAAAGUGAAUGUGUACAAUUGAACAUAUAAGUUGAUCAAUUGUGUCUGUAGUGUAUUCAUUUUGGUUUUGGGAGUUUAUGCAAUCCACUUGAGGGCAAUAAUAUGAUUAUUGGGAGCAAUAAUA